This 466-nucleotide ribosomal RNA is filed under the name uncultured bacterium. RNAcentral's name for it is "partial 16S ribosomal RNA". It matches the Rfam family "Bacterial small subunit ribosomal RNA", at positions 28 to 507 of the family's 1533-position model. The record is from RNAcentral.
GAUGAACGCUGGCGGCGUGCUUAACACAUGCAAGUCGAACGAUGAAGCCCAGCUUGCUGGGUGGAUUAGUGGCGAACGGGUGAGUAACACGUGAGUAACCUGCCCUUAACUCUGGGAUAAGCCUGGGAAACUGGGUCUAAUACCGGAUAGGAGCGUCCACCGCAUGGUGGGUGUUGGAAAGAUUUAUCGGUUUUGGAUGGACUCGCGGCCUAUCAGCUUGUUGGUGAGGUAAUGGCUCACCAAGGCGACGACGGGUAGCCGGCCUUAGAGGGUGACCGGCCACACUGGGACUGAGACACGGCCCAGACUCCUACGGGAGGCAGCAGUGGGGAAUAUUGCACAAUGGGCGCAAGCCUGAUGCAGCGACGCCGCGUGAGGGAUGACGGCCUUCGGGUUGUAAACCUCUUUCAGUAGGGAAGAAGCGAAAGUGACGGCACCUGCAGAAGAAGCACCGGCUAACUACGUG